GAUAAACGCUGGCGGCGCACAUAAGACAUGCAAGUCGAACGAACUUAAUCGAAAUGUUCACAUUUUGAAGCGGUUAGUGGCGGACUGGUGAGUAACGCGUAAGGAACCUACCUUUUAGAGGGGAAUAACAAUGAGAAAUCAUUGCUAAUACCGCAUAUGCCAUAGGUGCCACAUGACACUAGUGGGAAAGAAGCAAUUCGCUAGAAGAUGGCCUUGCGUCUGAUUAGAUAGUUGGUAAGGUAACGGCUUACCAAGUCGACGAUCAGUAGCCGGACUGAGAGGUUGAACGGCCACAUUGGGACUGAGAUACGGCCCAG
This 317-nucleotide ribosomal RNA is filed under the name uncultured bacterium. Its description in RNAcentral is "bacterial SSU rRNA". It matches the Rfam family "Bacterial small subunit ribosomal RNA", at positions 28 to 334 of the family's 1533-position model. The record is from RNAcentral.